This 25-nucleotide small nuclear RNA is filed under the name Arabidopsis thaliana (thale cress). RNAcentral's name for it is "snRNA_09715". Lineage: Eukaryota; Viridiplantae; Streptophyta; Magnoliopsida; Brassicales; Brassicaceae. The record is from RNAcentral.
GUAUUAUUUUAGACUUCAUAGGAUU